UAGGGGAUAUUUCUUGACUCAUGUGA
RNAcentral lists this non-coding RNA (26 nucleotides) under Rattus norvegicus (Norway rat). The record is from RNAcentral. Lineage: Eukaryota; Metazoa; Chordata; Mammalia; Rodentia; Muridae.